This 273-nucleotide ribosomal RNA is filed under the name uncultured bacterium. RNAcentral describes it as "partial 16S ribosomal RNA". It matches the Rfam family "Bacterial small subunit ribosomal RNA", at positions 524 to 794 of the family's 1533-position model. The record is from RNAcentral.
UACGAAGGGUGCAAGCGUUAAUCGGAAUUACUGGGCGUAAAGCGCGCGUAGGUGGUUCAGUAAGUUGGAUGUGAAAUCCCCCGGGCUCAACCUGGGAACUGCAUCCAAAACUAGCUGAACUAGAGUACGGUAGAGGGUGGUGGAAUUUCCUGUGUAGCGGUGAAAUGCGUAGAUAUAGGAAGGAACACCAGUGGCGAAGGCGACCACCUGGACUGAUACUGACACUGAGGUGCGAAAGCGUGGGGAGCAAACAGGAUUAGAUACCCGUGUAGU